CAGUGGGUCCAUCACUGCUCACUGCAGCCUUGACUGCCUGGGCUCAAGCGAUCCUCCCACCUCAGCCUCUAGAGUAGCUGGGACUACAGAUGCAUGCCACUAUGCCCAACUAAUUUUUAAAAAUUUUUUUCUAGAGGCAGGGUUUCACUCUGUUGCCCAGGCUGGUCCCAAACUCCUUGCCUGAAGUGAUCCUCCUGCCUUUGUCUUUCAAAGUGCUGGCACUACAGGUGUGAGCCACUGUUCCAGGACAAGAUCUUAUUUCUUUGUUUGAAAAGAUCCUUAAUCAGGUUUUUAUUCUCUCAAAUGUCUGUCAGAAUACGAAUUUAGAAUAACAAGGAAAUAAGGUCUGCUUUAUUUACUUUUAAGAAAUAAAAUAUUAUUCAUGUAAGUUUAGCCAAACUAACUAAACCUGAUGCUGUUAAUGAAAUAGGGCCUGCCUUUGCAUAAGAUAAUUCCUGUGUAGUAUAUCACACCACCAGC
RNAcentral lists this long non-coding RNA (480 nucleotides) under Homo sapiens (human). RNAcentral's name for it is "LHRI_LNC1049.1". The record is from RNAcentral. Lineage: Eukaryota; Metazoa; Chordata; Mammalia; Primates; Hominidae.